This is a long non-coding RNA of Hemicordylus capensis (graceful crag lizard), 1835 nucleotides long. RefSeq lists it as uncharacterized. The transcript is spliced from 2 exons. NCBI's taxonomy places the organism in Eukaryota, Metazoa, Chordata, Lepidosauria, Squamata, Cordylidae. The record is from RefSeq and is a predicted model, not a curated record.
UUUCAGCGGCCAUUAAAAAAACCACAAUUAUUUUAAAAAAUGGCCACUGCACAUGCUCAAAUGGUCUCUGCGAGGCCCUAGAGGCCAGCAGUGGGAGGCACAACCUUUGCAUACCCCCCCCACAGCCUAUAGGAAGCACCCCAAAGGGGCUACAGGUUAAAAAAAUAAUAAUUUAAUAUAAGUCACUGUACACAUAUUCAGUUUGGCACUAUGUACAGAGAAUCAGGGCUUCUGAAUACUGAGCUGAAGCUUAUGAGCUAGGAUUGUAUUCAUUUGCUCUUACUUUGCUUCUUAUGAUAAGUGAGUUAAAUGUGGUGUCUUAAAAAUAUGGUUAUUAAUGGUGAGUUUGUCUUUGAAUUAGUGUGAAAUCCUUAGUAUUAAGGCCCACUGGGAGUUUCUUGCUCUCUUUCUCUCAUUUUAACUGUCUUUCUGAAAUACUAGAAUAUAUUCCAAGCAGUGACACAGUUUACUCUGCAUAUCCUUUCAUUAUUUUCAGAGUAUCUGGGAAAAGUCAAAUUCUCGAUUUAUUUUUAAAACUUAUGUAAUAGUGAUGUUAGUAGAUGCACAGUAGUGAAUUAGACAGGCACUUCUGUUUAGUUUUCCAAGUACACCUCCACAUAGUAUUUGGGUAUUUCAUGAGCCCCAGCAUAUUGAAAUUUGUAGUUUUCCAGCAUUUUUUGGUCUGGCUACGUCUACUGCUAAAUAGUUUUUGAAAUUUUAAAAGAUUAAUGAGCUUAACUUAUAUUUUUCAGCUGAUAUUAUAGUAAAGUUAUCUGAAAGAUGGGUGUCAGAUGUUUGGACAAGGGGCGCAAUUUCAGUGCCUCCCCUAGGCGCUAUUUUCCCUAGAUACGCCUCUGUUCAUCAACCAUCACUCGAACAGGUCUUCGGAAUUUUUCCUUGCUUUACUUAUUGGAUGGGGGAUCCUGUGGUUUCUCCAUUGUCAUGGACGGACCCUACCUGGUUAAGGCUGGUUUCACAGCCACAACCCAGCCCUGCAGGUGUGGUGGACCUAUUAAGAUGGUUUGCCCGAGAAGCCUACUGGACCCAGUAGGAUACCAAAAGACUUUGGAGGAUUUUAAUGCUGGUGAUGCCAGUGAUUCUGUCAAUGUGGGAAACUGAAAUAGGGAGCUCACCAGGGCAGUUCCUAAACAGUUCCUAAAGAUUUUAAUGAAUGUUUUCCCUAUUGUUCCUAUGCUGUUGCCUUCAUGGGACUUACAACUUAAGUUGACUCAGUAGAUGAAAAAUCUGUUCGAAUGCUAGCCUCGGUAACUUAAAACUACUUAUCCUCAAAAUCAUGUUUCUCAUUGCCUUAGAAAGAAGGGUUUGUGAGCAGAAUGCCCUGAGAUGUGACUCUCUGUACCUUAUAUUUCACAAGAAGAGGAAUGUAUUGAGACCAGACAUCACUUCUCUUCCCAAAGUCAUCUCAAGCUUCCACCUGACUCAGGCAGCAAGAUUUAGCAGACAGGAGCAAGGGAUAUGAAGUCUUUUCCUUUCUGUUUAUUUCCUACUUUAUUCUAGAUGAGCUUAUAUCCUCAAUUCACUUUUGCACUUAUCUUCACUUUAAUUUAUGAAUUAGUGUGCAUUCCAUCCUGAAGAGCUGGAAAAAAACAUGUAUGAUACUAUAAUUGGCAUACUGUUACAUUUCUCUUUUUAUGGUUGGUUGGUUUUUUAUGAUUGGUUGUUUUUUGUUUUAACUGACUGUAAUGUUUUAAAUGUGAUUUUUAUGGACUUUUAAGGUAUUUUAAUGUUUGUAAACUGCCUUGGGAUACAUUUUAUGAAAGGUGGUGUAGAAAUUGAAGAAAUUGAACUAUAAAUAAAAAUAUAAAUAAAUACAA